GGAUUAAAAGAUGAAUAAGAAAAACUAAUCUAGAUUGCCUAAAUCCUUUCAAUUUAUUUAUUUACAAAAUAAGUAUGACAGUGCGAAGGCAUUCCAGCCGUUAAUUUGAGCCCCUCGUGCACGCAAUCCACAUGUACUCCUUUUCUUUAUUUUUUAUUUACUUUUGUUCUUUUCAUUCUUCCAUCUGCCUUCUAUUCUUCUUUUUGUUUUGUUUUGUCUUAUCUUGU
This 227-nucleotide long non-coding RNA is filed under the name Zostera marina. RNAcentral describes it as "long non-coding RNA (ZMAR_LNC000182)". Lineage: Eukaryota; Viridiplantae; Streptophyta; Magnoliopsida; Alismatales; Zosteraceae. The record is from RNAcentral.